This 723-nucleotide long non-coding RNA is filed under the name Helianthus annuus (common sunflower). Lineage: Eukaryota; Viridiplantae; Streptophyta; Magnoliopsida; Asterales; Asteraceae. The record is from RNAcentral.
AUGUGGUCUUGCCUCUUCAAACCUCUUCAAGCUCCACUUCUCCACUUCUAAACCUGCACAUCUUCAAACCUCAUAACCCUAGCCCCAUCUCCACUUCUCCAGCCGAGACCUCACCUCCUCCGCUUCCCCCUCCACCUCCGCCACACCUCUGCCUCCCCUCCGUUACACCCUCUCCAAACCCUAGCAUACUUCUCCUAGCCACACCUCACCUCCUCCGCCACCACCACAUCUCCCGCCACCACCUCCACUUACUCCGCCUCCGACACCACCUCCGCAUCUGAUCUGCUGCGUCAUCGACCUGCUGCCUCCGACCUCCGACCUCCGCCUUCGACCUGCUGCCUCCGCCUCCGACCUGCUGCCUGCCUCCCCUUUGACCUGCUGCCUCCACCUCCGACCUGGUAUGUUCAUUUUUACUGCAGAGGUUUGGUCCAGCUCUUCUGCUACAGAUGUUUGCAGAUGUGGUCCGCAGACUGCAGACGUUUCACCUCAGAAAAAACAAAGAGCACCUUAUCACAUGUGAAAAAUAGCUCUAACACUACCAUAAAUGUAUUACAUGUUGCGUAAUUAAUGAUUACAUGUGUGAAGUGGUUCUAAUCAAACUAUUGUUAGAUAAAAAAAAUAAAAUAGAGACGUAAACGUCUAAACCAUCAUGCUGGCUUAUGUAAUUUGCUUAAUGUGAACUUAUGUCCAUAUCAAGAAUAACAUUUGUUCUUCUUUUACCGG